This 520-nucleotide ribosomal RNA is filed under the name uncultured Glomus. RNAcentral's name for it is "SSU rRNA". It matches the Rfam family "Eukaryotic small subunit ribosomal RNA", at positions 569 to 1091 of the family's 1831-position model. Lineage: Eukaryota; Fungi; Glomeromycota; Glomeromycetes; Glomerales; Glomeraceae. The record is from RNAcentral.
AGCAGCCGCGGUAAUUCCAGCUCCAAUAGCGUAUAUUAAAGUUGUUGCAGUUAAAAAGCUCGUAGUUGAAUUUCGGGAUCAAUUAGUCGGUCGUGCCUCUGGUACGUACUGGUUUUAUUGGUUCCUCCCUUCUGACGAAACAUGAUGUCAUUAAUUUGGUGUCGUGGAGAAUCAGGACUGUUACCUUGAAAAAAUUAGAGUGUUUAUAGCAGGCUAACGCUUGAAUACAUUAGCAUGGAAUAAUGAAAUAGGACGUUCGACCCUAUUUUGUUGGUUUCUAGGAUCGACGUAAUGAUUAAUAGGGAUAGUUGGGGGCAUUAGUAUUCAAUUGUCAGAGGUGAAAUUCUUGGAUUUAUUGAAGACUAACUACUGCGAAAGCAUUUGCCAAGGAUGUUUUCAUUAAUCAAGAACGAAAGUUAGGGGAUCGAAGACGAUCAGAUACCGUCGUAGUCUUAACCAUAAACUAUGCCGACUAGGGAUCGGAUGAUGUUAAUUUUUAAUGACUCAUUCGGCGCCUUAA